UAGCAGUUCUAGGAGUUCAUCCGUUCCAGCCUCCCAAAAUCUUAGUUCUGUAGAUGAACCUCAUCCGAUCUUUGUACCAGACACCAUCCCCAGCUCUUUGACUUCGGAGGAACUCUCACUGAUUAGGAUUCAGUACGGGGUUCCUUCAGAGUACGAGCUGGAGCUUCUAGGGUCGACUGGCCGGGCUAGCGCUCCUCCCCCCGAUUGCUCCUAUUUUUACC
Molecule: long non-coding RNA, 221 nt
Filed under: Elaeis guineensis (African oil palm)
Lineage: Eukaryota; Viridiplantae; Streptophyta; Magnoliopsida; Arecales; Arecaceae
Description: long non-coding RNA (EGUI_LNC050632)
Source: RNAcentral